CGAGAAUGUGGUGUAAUGGUAACACGCCUGCUUUGGGAGCAGGAAUCGCAGUUCAAAUCUGACAUUUUCGACCA
This 74-nucleotide transfer RNA is filed under the name Bacteriophage sp. RNAcentral describes it as "tRNA-Pro". It matches the Rfam family "tRNA". From Rfam's summary of the family: Transfer RNA (tRNA) molecules are approximately 80 nucleotides in length. Their secondary structure includes four short double-helical elements and three loops (D, anti-codon, and T loops). The record is from RNAcentral.